CUCCUGAUGCAAGCCUCCACUUUGACCACCCCGCUCCUAUACGAUGAGUGACGUCCCCGUCGAUCUCUCCGUCCCCCUGAAUCACAGACCCCAGAUAUCGGACACUGUCCCUCUUGGCAAUGGCCUUAGAACCAAUCAUCACGACCCUGCCUACUUCGCUCGGCUCGGCGCUAAACUUGCACUCCAGGUACUCUGUCUUGGAUCUGCUUAUUUUGAAACCUUUAGACUCGAGAGUCUGACUCCAUACCUCUAACCUUUCAAUAACACCGACCCUCGUCUCAUCUAUCAAUAAUAUAUCAUCAGCAAAUAGCAUACACCAAGGCACAUCCCCUUGAAUAUGUCGGGUUAG
Molecule: long non-coding RNA, 349 nt
Filed under: Nicotiana benthamiana
Lineage: Eukaryota; Viridiplantae; Streptophyta; Magnoliopsida; Solanales; Solanaceae
Description: long non-coding RNA (NBEN_LNC013742)
Source: RNAcentral